This 484-nucleotide ribosomal RNA is filed under the name uncultured bacterium. Its description in RNAcentral is "partial 16S ribosomal RNA". It matches the Rfam family "Bacterial small subunit ribosomal RNA", at positions 30 to 507 of the family's 1533-position model. The record is from RNAcentral.
AUUGAACGCUGGCGGCAGGCCUAACACAUGCCAGUCGAGCGGAUGAAGGGAGCUUGCUCCUGGAUUCAGCGGCGGACGGGUGAGUAAUGCCUAGGAAUCUGCCUGGUAGUGGGGGAUAACGUCCGGAAACGGGCGCUAAUACCGCAUACGUCCUGAGGGAGAAAGUGGGGGAUCUUCGGGCCUCACGCUAUCAGAUGAGCCUAGGUCGGAUUAGCUAGUUGGUGGGGUAAAGGCCUACCAAGGCGACGAUCCGUAACUGGUCUGAGAGGAUGAUCAGUCACACUGGAACUGAGACACGGUCCAGACUCCUACGGGAGGCAGCAGUGGGGAAUAUUGGACAAUGGGCGAAAGCCUGAUCCAGCCAUGCCGCGUGUGUGAAGAAGGUCUUCGGAUUGUAAAGCACUUUAAGUUGGGAGGAAGGGCAGUAAGUUAAUACCUUGCUGUUUUGACGUUACCAACAGAAUAAGCACCGGCUAACUUCGUG